AACGAACGCUGGCGGCAGGCUUAACACAUGCAAGUCGAGCGCCCCGCAAGGGAGCGGCAGACGGGUGAGUAACGCGUGGGAAUCUACCUAUCACUACGGAACAACUCCGGGAAACUGGAGCUAAUACCGUAUACGUCCGAGAGGAGAAAGAUUUAUCGGUGAUAGAUGAGCCCGCGUUGGAUUAGCUAGUUGGUGGGGUAAUGGCCUACCAAGGCGACGAUCCAUAGCUGGUCUGAGAGGAUGAUCAGCCACACUGGGACUGAGACACGGCCCAGACUCCUACGGGAGGCAGCAGUGGGGAAUAUUGGACAAUGGGCGAAAGCCUGAUCCAGCCAUGCCGCGUGAGUGAUGAAGGCCUUAGGGUUGUAAAGCUCUUUCACCGGUGAAGAUAAUGACGGUAACCGGAGAAGAAGCCCCGGCUAACUUCGUGCCAGCAGCCGCGGUAAU
RNAcentral lists this ribosomal RNA (447 nucleotides) under uncultured bacterium. RNAcentral's name for it is "bacterial SSU rRNA". It matches the Rfam family "Bacterial small subunit ribosomal RNA", at positions 29 to 524 of the family's 1533-position model. The record is from RNAcentral.